GGCCCCUUAGCUCAGUUGGUUAGAGCAGGCGACUCAUAAUCGCUUGGUCACUGGUUCAAGUCCAGUAGGGGGCCACCA
RNAcentral lists this transfer RNA (78 nucleotides) under Proteus vulgaris. RNAcentral describes it as "tRNA-Ile". It matches the Rfam family "tRNA". From Rfam's summary of the family: Transfer RNA (tRNA) molecules are approximately 80 nucleotides in length. Their secondary structure includes four short double-helical elements and three loops (D, anti-codon, and T loops). RNAcentral also lists the same sequence under 1 other name. The record is from RNAcentral. Lineage: Bacteria; Pseudomonadati; Pseudomonadota; Gammaproteobacteria; Enterobacterales; Morganellaceae.